AUUGAACGCUGGCGGCAGGCCUAACACAUGCAAGUCGAACGAGUGGCGGACGGGUGAGUAAUGUCUGGGAAACUGCCUGAUGGAGGGGGAUCACUACUGGAAACGGUAGCUAAUACCGCAUACCAUCAGAUGUGCCCAGAUGGGAUUAGCUUGUUGGUGGGGUAACGGCUCACAAAGGCGACGAUCCCUAGCUGGUCUGAGAGGAUGACCGGCAACACGGGAACUGAGACACGGUCCAGGCGCCUACGGGAAGGAGGAGUGGGGAAUAAAGCAAAAUGGGAGCAAGCCUGAUGGAGCCAUGCCGCGAGUAUGAAGAAGGCCUUCGGGUUGUAAAGUACUUUCAGCGGGGAGACGUUACCCGCAGAAGAAGCACCGGCUAACUCCGUGCCAGCAGCCGCGGUAAUA
This 405-nucleotide ribosomal RNA is filed under the name uncultured bacterium. RNAcentral describes it as "partial 16S ribosomal RNA". It matches the Rfam family "Bacterial small subunit ribosomal RNA", at positions 29 to 525 of the family's 1533-position model. The record is from RNAcentral.